Molecule: ribosomal RNA, 460 nt
Filed under: uncultured bacterium
Lineage: Bacteria
Description: partial 16S ribosomal RNA
Rfam family: Bacterial small subunit ribosomal RNA
Source: RNAcentral
CCUACGGGUGGCAGCAGUGAGGAAUAUUGGUCAAUGGUCGGGAGACUGAACCAGCCAAGCCGCGUGAGGGAGGAAGGUACAGAGUAUCGUAAACCUCUUUUGUCAGGGAACAAAGACUGGGACGCGUCCCCGGAUGAGUGUACCUGCAGAAAAAGCAUCGGCUAACUCCGUGCCAGCAGCCGCGGUAAUACGGAGGAUGCGAGCGUUAUCCGGAUUUACUGGGCGUAAAGCGCGCGUAGGCUGUUGUGUAAGUUGGGAGUGAAAUCCCACGGCUCAACCGUGGAACAGACCUUGAUACUGCGCGACUUGAAUCCGGGAGAGGGUGGCGGAAUUCCAGGUGUAGGAGUGAAAUCCGUAGAUAUCUGGAGGAACAUCAGUGGCGAAGGCGGCCACCUGGACCGGUAUUGACGCUGAGGCGCGAAAGCGUGGGGAGCAAACAGGAUUAGAUACCCGGGUAGUC